CGGGGUGGCGGAAUGGUAGACGCACGGGACUUAAAAUCCUGCGGGCGCAAGCUCGUGCGGGUUCGAAUCCCGCUCUCGGC
Molecule: transfer RNA, 80 nt
Filed under: human gut metagenome
Also listed under: 1 other name
Rfam family: tRNA
About the family: Transfer RNA (tRNA) molecules are approximately 80 nucleotides in length. Their secondary structure includes four short double-helical elements and three loops (D, anti-codon, and T loops).
Source: RNAcentral